UACGAAGGGGGCUAGCGUUGCUCGGAAUCACUGGGCGUAAAGCGCACGUAGGCGGAUCUUUAAGUCAGGGGUGAAAUCCUGGAGCUCAACUCCAGAACUGCCUUUGAUACUGGGGAUCUCGAGUCCGGAAGAGGUGAGUGGAACUCCGAGUGUAGAGGUGAAAUUCGUAGAUAUUCGGAAGAACACCAGUGGCGAAGGCGGCUCACUGGUCCGGUACUGACGCUGAGGCGCGAAAGCGUGGGGAGCGAACCGG
RNAcentral lists this ribosomal RNA (253 nucleotides) under uncultured bacterium. RNAcentral describes it as "partial 16S ribosomal RNA". It matches the Rfam family "Bacterial small subunit ribosomal RNA", at positions 524 to 776 of the family's 1533-position model. The record is from RNAcentral.